GAUGAACGCUGGCGGCGUGCCUAAUACAUGCAAGUCGAGCGAACGGACGAGAAGCUUGCUUCUCUGAUGUUAGCGGCGGACGGGUGAGUAACACGUGGAUAACCUACCUAUAAGACGGUGAUAACUUCGGGAAACCGGAGCUAAUACCGGAUGAUAUUUUGAACCGCAUGGGUCAAAAGUGAAAUACGGUCUUGCUGUCACUUAUAGAUGGAUCCGCGCUGCAUUAGCUAGUUGGUAAGGUAACGGCUUACAAAGGCAACGAUGCAUAGCCGAGCUGAGGGGGGGUACGGCCACACAGGAGGUGAGACACGAUCCAGACACUGACGGGAGGCAGAGACAGGGAAGGGUGCGCGAUGGGCGAAAGCCUGACGGAGCAACGCAGCGUGAGUGAUGAAGGGCUGCGGAUCGGAAAACUCUGUUAUUAGGGAAGAACAUAUGUGUAAGUAACUGUGCACAUCUUGACGGAACCGAAACAGAAAGCCACGCCUAACUACGU
This 496-nucleotide ribosomal RNA is filed under the name uncultured bacterium. RNAcentral describes it as "partial 16S ribosomal RNA". It matches the Rfam family "Bacterial small subunit ribosomal RNA", at positions 28 to 506 of the family's 1533-position model. The record is from RNAcentral.